RNAcentral lists this unclassified non-coding RNA (682 nucleotides) under uncultured Prochlorococcus sp. RNAcentral describes it as "partial may contain 16S ribosomal RNA, 16S-23S ribosomal RNA intergenic spacer, and 23S ribosomal RNA". The stretch from base 1 to 98 matches the Rfam family "Bacterial small subunit ribosomal RNA", at positions 1438 to 1533 of the family's 1533-position model. Lineage: Bacteria; Bacillati; Cyanobacteriota; Cyanophyceae; Synechococcales; Prochlorococcaceae. The record is from RNAcentral.
ACCCCUUGUGGAGGAGGACGCCGAAGGUGGGGCUAAUGACUGGGGUGAAGUCGUAACAAGGUAGCCGUACCGGAAGGUGCGGCUGGAUCACCUCCUAACAGGGAGACAACAAAAUGUUUAAUAUUAUUAUUUUGUCACCUUAGGUCGAUCGGUAUCUCAUGUUCUUAAUUUAUUAAGAAUUUCAUUUCCUAAGUUUUUCUAGGUCACACCCAUUAUUUUUCCUGGGCCAUUAGCUCAGGUGGUUAGAGCGCACCCCUGAUAAGGGUGAGGUCCCUGGUUCAAGUCCAGGAUGGCCCAUAUCUCUAUGUUGGGGGUAUAGCUCAGUUGGUAGAGCGCCUGCUUUGCAAGCAGGAUGUCAGCGGUUCGAGUCCGCUUACCUCCACUGAUUACCACCUCUUCCAUAAUCUGUAGAAAGGAAAUUUUUUGAGUUGUGAUUAUAGUUCUGAACGAAUCUAGCUUCCUAAUGAAACCAUUAAGAUGCUGGACUCAUUGAAUUGAUUUCAUUGUUUUCAGAGAACCUUGACAACUGCAUAGAUUAUUUUAAAGACAAUAAGCAUCUUUUAUGAUGCAGAUUUAUUAUUUGUGCGAAUGCAUUAAUAACAAUUCUAUUAAGCUGAUGCUUCAAUUUUGAAGUUAUUGGUCAAGCUACAAAGGGCUCACGGAGGAUACCUAGGCACACAGA